AUUGCUUUUCUUUGAUCUUUUCUUAUUUUUUGUUUGAUGUAUUAUGUGGAGCUCUACAUUCUGCAGUUCCCCCGCUGAGGUGUUCAUGGCUGCAGUUUAGAGGGGGGGGAAUACUGUAUGCUUUACAAAUACCAGAUACAGUAUUUAUAAAGAUGACAUUGCAUCAAAACGUGACAUCACAAAGUAUGAUCAAGAUAUUGUUACCUGAUGAAAGGUUACUCCCCAUCCCACACCCGACAGACUCUUGUUUCCUGCUGAGAGGCGGGUGGCAGAGGGGCUGGUUUGGGGCCAUCUCCCUCAACUUCCAGAUCUGUUGUCUUGGGCCAAGGCAGAGCAGAAGCCAAUUCAGUGAUUUCAUCAGGAGGCCAGGCUGUGUCGAACUGGCAGGAUCCAGACACAUGGGAAAUCAGCGUUGGAUUCCAUGCAGAAAAUCAUACAGAGUUUGAUGUGCCCCAGAUGCAAGCAAACAAGUCUUCCAUCAAUGAGGAUCCUCCAGAAUUUGGUCGCCCCUCCUUCAAAGCUGGAGGAUGUCCCAAAUAAUAAUAGGCCAGGUCCUCAGCAUCUUCAUUCAGAAAGAUCAGGUAGCAGAUGGGAGGAAAAAUGCCUUUCUCUGUCUGUAUCCCUGAUGAGCAGUUGAUGGGGAGAGUAGAGAGCAUUGGGGCUCAGGAGGCAAUGCAUGCAACCUGCUGAAUAAGACAGGCUCCUAAUGUCUCAUUUCCUAGUUAGUCUGUGACUCCAGCAGCCGCUGGCGUGGUGCUUCUCAGAUUGGACCGAACCCAGCGAGAUAUGUUUUGUGGCACAAGGUUGCUAUCCUGGGGCUUUUGGAUAACUUGCUGUUUUCCUCCAGACGGCAGAUUAUCGUUGGCAAGUUCGACCGUAUCGAAUGCAAAAAUUCUUGUGUACUCCUUGACUUACAGUAAAAGUCAAGAAGGCUGUUCCUGUCAUGAUGUGAAUCUGGGGAGGUUAAGAAGGACAAUAAAAGAAAAGAGGCCAAAGGCGAGUAAUUCA
This 1008-nucleotide long non-coding RNA is filed under the name Pogona vitticeps (central bearded dragon). RNAcentral's name for it is "lncRNA (ENSPVIG00000025055.1)". The record is from RNAcentral. Lineage: Eukaryota; Metazoa; Chordata; Lepidosauria; Squamata; Agamidae.